RNAcentral lists this ribosomal RNA (1686 nucleotides) under Triticum aestivum (bread wheat). RNAcentral describes it as "partial small subunit ribosomal RNA". Lineage: Eukaryota; Viridiplantae; Streptophyta; Magnoliopsida; Poales; Poaceae. The record is from RNAcentral.
AUGGUCGGGCGGAGCUCCCUCCCGGAUGGCGCCCUCUUCCUCGGACUGGACAGCUCCACUCAGUCUGUGAAAGCUACUGUGCUCAGCAAUGAGUUAAUAAUAGUCGCUUCUGAAACUGUUAAUUUUGACUCCGAGUUACCGCACUACAAAACCGAGGGUGGGGUCUACAGAGAUCCUACAGAUGACGGCCGUAUAUAUUCACCAACCAUAAUGUGGGUGGAGGCCUUGGAACUGCUUCUUGAGAAACUAAAACCAAAGAUCAACUUCAGUAAGGUUGUGGCCGUUUCAGGGAGUGGGCAACAGCACGGCAGCGUUUAUUGGAAGAAGGGUAGUCAAGCUGUGCUGUCUUCCCUGGAUCCUGGUAAGAGCUUGGUAUCUCAGCUUAAGGAUGCCUUUUCUACCAUGGACUCGCCAAUAUGGAUGGACAGUAGCACCACCAAGCAAUGCAGAGAAAUAGAAAAUGCUGUCGGAGGAGCAUUGGAGUUAUCUGAGCUGACAGGGUCUCGUGCCUAUGAGAGAUUCACCGGGCCCCAGAUACGGAAGAUCUACCAAACAGCACCCCAUAUUUAUGAAAAUACCGAGAGAAUAUCUUUGGUGAGCUCAUUCAUGGCAUCUAUCCUUGCUGGAUGCUAUGCAAGUAUUGAUGAAACUGAUGGUGCUGGGAUGAACUUGAUGGAUAUAAACCAGAGGACCUGGUCAAAAGCUGUUUUAGAGGCAACUGCUCCUGAUCUUGAACAGAAGCUGGGAAAUCUGGCACCGGCAUAUGCAGCUGCAGGUCGGAUUUCUUCAUAUUUUGUAGAAAGGCAUCAGUUUGACAAGAACUGUUUGGUUAUUCAGUGGUCAGGUGACAAUCCCAAUAGCCUUGCAGGUUUAACACUGAAUACACCUGGCGAUCUUGCAAUCAGCCUUGGUACUAGUGACACAGUUUUUGGGAUUACUGCCGAAGCUAAACCAAGCCUUGAAGGCCAUGUUUUCCCCAACCCUGUUGAACCGGAUGGUUACAUGGUGAUGCUAUGUUACAAAAAUGGCUCAUUGACCCGGGAAGAUGUGCGGAAUCAGUGCGCAGAAAAAUCGUGGGAUGUUUUCAACAACUAUCUAGAGAAAACACCCCCUCUGAAUGGUGGGAAGUUAGGAUUCUACUACAAAGACCAUGAGAUCCUGCCUCCUCUUCCUGUUGGUUUCCACCGAUACAUUGUCGAGAAUUUCAAUGACGCCUCAUCUAAUAAUCUGAAGGAGCAUGAGGUGCAAGAAUUUGAUCCACAAUCUGAGGUCCGUGCCAUCGUCGAGGGUCAGAUGUUGUCCAUGAGAGGGCAUGCCGAGCGGUUUGGCAUGCCCAACCCACCAAAGCGGAUCAUAGCAACUGGUGGGGCAUCCUCCAAUGAGAGCAUCCUCAAGUUGAUCGCGCAAAUCUUUGGCUGCCCUGUCUUCACAGUUGAGAGACCUGAUUCGGCCUCGCUGGGUGCAGCUCUGAGAGCCGCCCACGGGUGGCUGUGCAAGGAGGAAGGAGGUUUUGUUCCCAUCUCCCGGAUGUACACGGGCAACCUGGAGAAGACCUCGCUGGGCGCAAAGCUGGCGGUCCCGGCGCCGGGGGAGGAGGGCAGGGAGCUCCUGAAGAAGUACACGGUGCUCAUGAAGAAGAGGAUGGAGAUCGAGAGACGCCUGGUGGAGAAGAUCGGGCGUGCGUAG